UAUCAGAGCUGGGAGCUGAUAUUGAACACCCACAUUCCCUGGCUUCGUAAAUUUUGUAUCAUUACUGGUUUUGUGCAUAUUUUCAGGGGGUUUUUCCCCAGUUGAGGCUUACAGCACGGACUCGAUUCGUGAGUUCCAACAAUACUGAGCGUACGAGUAAUAUUGGCAGAACAAAUGGUGGCAGAAAAGACGCUUGCAGGGAAGCACCAACUGCUGAUUGCAACGUUUAAAAACUCGGCGAAAAUCGGUAAACGAAACUCCGUGCCAAUAACUCAUCAAGAAGCAUGAUGAUGGAUAAGAAUAACAUAGCACGAUGCGGGGAAUUACAAGCGGCAGAUAAUGGAACAAAGCUUCUGCUCUCGACACACUAGCUCAGGAAGAUUGUGAAUAAUCGCUUGAUGAAAAUGCAAAGGUUAAAUUUGGAAACCUCAGUUUUUAAGAAGCUUUUAUAAAUACUUGUGUCCGGAGUAAAUUCGAGUGAAAAAGUGUUGGCCGGAUGGAAUCGCAUUUACAGCGGAGUCUCAUAUUGAAAAGGAACGUUUAUCAAUCUUUACGUUUAUGCGUUUUCCACCUCACAUAAUUUAAACGUCCGAUUAAGCGAGAAAUGAAAAGGGGAUGAAGAGAAAGAGAAAAGCAGGAGGAAGCCCGCUCGUGAAAUGCGAACAUUUAAUGGGCUUUCCAUUCUCGCUUUAAUUAAGGGAUUUAACGGAGUACGAAAGUGAAGAUAACCGAGGGACGGAUCACUUGUGUAUAUCACAAGUGCUUAUAUGUUUAUAUAGAAAUUUGCGAGGAAAUUUGGGAUCAAUAUUCUCGUGCUUUUCGAAGCUUUACGACCAAAGUGAAAUCGUGCUUUCGGAUUUUCGUGCUUAUCGACGAACGUGCCCACCGUGGCAAACCGUAAAAGAGACAAGAGCAGCAUUACCAAAUAACAACAUUUCAUCAACUCAGUGUCAUCCUCGAAUACCGAAACGCUUAGGCGUGGAACAUCGAAUAACUAAGCCGACGAUUCACCGUCCACAUUUCCUAGAAUUUCUUUGUCUUUCAGACUUUCCUCGAGCAUUGAAAAAUCAGUUCUGAUAUAAACUGAAAGUGAGGCAAACAAAAAUCCAAAAUCGACGUGCUUCCACCCACUGAAAACCACAAAUCGCCGUUUUAAAUAUACAAUUUGUUUGUCCAGUCGCAAUAGUUUAUAAUUUUUAUCUAUUUUGUGAUUGAAGCUGUACCAUCGUAAGAAACAAUAAAUUAUAAAUAACAAUUUGA
Venturia canescens is the source of this 1260-nucleotide long non-coding RNA. RefSeq lists it as uncharacterized. The record is from RefSeq and is a predicted model, not a curated record. Lineage: Eukaryota; Metazoa; Arthropoda; Insecta; Hymenoptera; Ichneumonidae. The transcript has 2 exons.